This 440-nucleotide ribosomal RNA is filed under the name uncultured bacterium. Its description in RNAcentral is "partial 16S ribosomal RNA". It matches the Rfam family "Bacterial small subunit ribosomal RNA", at positions 338 to 795 of the family's 1533-position model. The record is from RNAcentral.
CCUACGGGUGGCUGCAGUGGGGGAUAUUGCACAAUGGGGGAAACCCUGAUGCAGCGACGCCGCGUGAGUGAAGAAGUAUUUCUGUAUGUAAAGCUCUAUCAGCAGGGAAGUAAAUGACAGUACCUGACCAAGAAGCUCCGGCUAACUACGGGCCAGCAGCCGCGGUAAUACGGAGGGGGCAAGCGUUAUCCGGAUUUACUGGGUGUAAAGGGGGCGUAGACGGUUAAGUAAGUCUGGAGUGAAAGCCUGGGGCCCAACCCCGGGACUGCUUUGGAAACUGUGUAACUGGAGUACAGGAGGGGCAGGCGGAAUUCGUGGUGUAGCGGUGAAAUGCGUAGAUAUCAGGAGGAACACCGGCGGCGAAGGCGGCCUGCUGGACUGAAACUGACGUUGAGGCUCGAAAGCGUGGGGAGCAAACAGGAUUAGAUACCCUAGUAGUC